AUUGAACGCUGGCGGCAUGCCUUACACAUGCAAGUCGAACGGCAGCACGGGUGCUUGCACCUGGUGGCGAGUGGCGAACGGGUGAGUAAUACAUCGGAACAUGUCCUGUAGUGGGGGAUAGCCCGGCGAAAGCCGGAUUAAUACUGCAUACGAUCCACGGAUGAAAGCGGGGGACCUUCGGGCCUCGCGCUAUAGGGUUGGCCGAUGGCUGAUUAGCUAGUUGGUGGGGUAAAGGCCUACCAAGGCGACGAUCAGUAGCUGGUCUGAGAGGACGACCAGCCACACUGGGACUGAGACACGGCCCAGACUCCUACGGGAGGCAGCAGUGUGGAAUUUUGGACAAUGGGCGAAAGCCUGAUCCAGCAAUGCCGCGUGUGUGAAGAAGGCCUUCGGGUUGUAAAGCACUUUUGUCCGGAAAGAAAUCCUUGACUCUAAUACAGUCGGGGGAUGACGGUACCGGAAGAAUAAGCACCGGCUAACUACGUG
RNAcentral lists this ribosomal RNA (486 nucleotides) under uncultured bacterium. Its description in RNAcentral is "partial 16S ribosomal RNA". It matches the Rfam family "Bacterial small subunit ribosomal RNA", at positions 30 to 507 of the family's 1533-position model. The record is from RNAcentral.